Long non-coding RNA from Oncorhynchus tshawytscha (Chinook salmon), 1867 nucleotides. The record is from Ensembl. NCBI's taxonomy places the organism in Eukaryota, Metazoa, Chordata, Actinopteri, Salmoniformes, Salmonidae.
GUGAAAAUAGUUAUAAAUGUCUUUAUCAAUUAUGAGUAGCUAAACUUAUCUACUUUUGGACACUGAUGCGCAGGAGAACCCCUAGCUGUCAAUCAAGCAGGCGCGGUGAACGGAUUAUGACGCUCAAGCGUUCCAAAUGACGCAACAAUACAGCUCCAGACCAGAGGAAGUUAAUGCCGAAGAUAUCAUUCGGUUCCACACUAAAACUGAGGUUUGACACGUGUGAUUUGAGGCUAGAGCUUGAGGACUCAACUCUGAAGACUGUUUCUGAAUUCACUGACCUGAAAUAAAACUUGUAGACCUUUCCUGCAGUCUCUGAGGAGAUGGACAGCUCUUCUUCUUCUGGACGAUCUCCGUCUCCUACUGGGACUGUCUUCUUACCCCCUCCUAUCAUGUGGAACAGUCUCUACAAGCAGGCAGAGAUGGAGCUUCACUUCCCGAGAGAAGAGAAGAAGACCUAUACAGAGAAGGAAGCCCACAUGCUUGAGUUGAUGGGGAAGGAUCGAACGAUCCGAAACCAGAAGAAGGAGAUGGACAGACUUCAAGUCUGCCUCUGGGAGGAGGAAAAGAAGAAGAGGAAUGGUGGAACGGAGAAGGACAAGAUCAUUGAACAAUUACAGUCUGAGACAGACCAUCUCCGAGCCCUUUUCAAAGAUGAAAGGAGGAGAAGAAGAGUAGAAAGGGGUAUCAUGAAAGAGUGGAAGGCUGAGAUCCUGAGACUGAGGGAGGCAGAGAGCCAGAGGGAGGCAGAGAGCCAGAGAGAGGCAGAGAACCAGAGAGAAGCAGAGAGACAGAGAGAAGCAGAGAGACAGAGGGAAGCAGAGAGACAGAGGGAGGCAGAGAGAGAGAGGGAAGCAGAGAGACAGAGGGAGGCAGAGAGACAGAGAGAAGCAGAGAGACAGAGAGAAGCAGAGAGACAGAGGAGGCAGAGAGACAGAGGGAAGCAGAGAGACAGAGGGAGGCAGAGAGACAGAGGAAGGCAGAGAGACAGAGAGAAGCAGAGAGACAGAGAGAAGCAGAGAGAGCCACAGAAGCAAUGGAGUACCAGAGAAAACUGCAGGAGAUCCACAGACUCAAACAACUGCUGGAUCUACUGAUGGUGGACCUACAACUGGCCCACGUAAGACAUGUCAUUGUUAUUAUUAAAAGGCAGUGUAUAUUUACCCAGCUGAAAAUGAAUAGUGGCAGACAGCGGUACGCUAACCUAAUGUUAACUUUUAUUCCUUUCCUUAACCCUUACCUUAACCUCACUGAAACUAUACCUAACCUUUACCUUAACCCAACCCUAGGUCCUGAACCUAACCUUCAUUUAUCUCAACCCCUAUGCCUUUCUUCUGCCGGUUGAAUAUCCACUUCCUUAUUAACGUCAUUACUGUUGUUGUUGAUAACUGUAUCUGUGCAGGUUGUAAAUAGUUGCAUUAGUGAAGCAUCAUUUGUAGGAGUAAUUUCUACAAGCAUAAACAUCAGAGGCAACAUUGUUGUAACAUCACACAAAUUGUAACAGGAAUUUCUCAAACCCCUAACUGAAUGGGCAAGAAGGUUGUGUGUUUGUAUUUGUACACAUUUUGGACAUAAUUGAUUCCAUAAAAUGUCUCAUAAUUUUUUCAAACCAUGUCAAUACAUUAAUUGACAAUGAAUUGUCCAGAUGAAUUGAUCAACAUGACCCUGCUAUUGAUGUUGUCCAGUGUUUGAUUCAAUUACCUAGCUCUAGGUUGUAUUUCUGUGUAUCAUUCUCUGCAAAUCCUUUGAAAGUAUGUCUUGGUAAUAGAUUAUCACUAAUUUAACCUUUUAAAAUGAAGCAAGAGAUUGAGAGAUUGAGGCUAUGGCAGAAAGUCAUGGAGGAGCAGCGACCAAGACUGGCCUGGAA